GACGAACGCUGGCGGCGUGCCUAAUACAUGCAAGUCGAGCGGAACUGGGGGAGCUUGCUCCUUCCAGUUUAGCGGCGGAUGGGUGAGUAACACGUGGGCAACCUGCCCUGCAGAUCGGGAUAACUCCGGGAAACCGGUGCUAAUACCGAAUAGUUUGGCGCCUCUCCUGAGGCGCUACGGAAAGACGGUUUCGGCUGUCACUGCAGGAUGGGCCCGCGGCGCAUUAGCUAGUUGGUGGGGUAACGGCCCACCAAGGCGACGAUGCGUAGCCGACCUGAGAGGGUGACCGGCCACACUGGGACUGAGACACGGCCCAGACUCCUACGGGAGGCAGCAGUAGGGAAUCUUCCGCAAUGGACGCAAGUCUGACGGAGCAACGCCGCGUGAGUGACGAAGGUUUUCGGAUCGUAAAACUCUGUUGUGAGGGAAGAACACGUACCAACUAACUAUUGGUACCUUGACGGUACCUCACCAGAAAGCCACGGCUAACUACGAGCCAGCCGCCGUAAAAC
This 512-nucleotide ribosomal RNA is filed under the name uncultured bacterium. RNAcentral's name for it is "partial 16S ribosomal RNA". It matches the Rfam family "Bacterial small subunit ribosomal RNA", at positions 28 to 526 of the family's 1533-position model. The record is from RNAcentral.